This 67-nucleotide transfer RNA is filed under the name Marmota monax (woodchuck). Its description in RNAcentral is "tRNA.Ala". The record is from RNAcentral. Lineage: Eukaryota; Metazoa; Chordata; Mammalia; Rodentia; Sciuridae.
GGUUGUGGCCCAGUGGUAGAGUGCUCACCUGGCACAUGUGAGGCGCUGGGUUCGAUUCUCAGCACCA